CUCCUGGGAAGUCCUCGUGUUGCACCCCUCUCUUUUUCUUCGCGUUUUUUUCGUUGGGGUUGUCGUUUGCGGCGGUCCAGCACGCUCGCUCUGCAUGCACCCCUUUGAUCUUCCCUGCAUUUAUUUUUUUUCUCGCUGGGCUUAUCGUGUACGUCGGUCCAGCACGCUCGCUUUGGAGGCUUAGCCCGCCCCAGGCUAAAAGCACGAGCCGCAGAUCUCGUUUCGGGUGCUAAAGCGUCGCGGGGACGUCGAAAUGCGCGGAAGCCCCUCGGGCUGCACCUCUCCGGCGGUAAGGUGCAUCGUUGCGUUCGGAUCCUUUUAUAAGAAUUAAACGCGCUUAUGCUGAUGGGUGCGAUCAUACCAACACUAAUGCACCGGA
Molecule: ribosomal RNA, 379 nt
Filed under: Quercus ithaburensis subsp. macrolepis
Lineage: Eukaryota; Viridiplantae; Streptophyta; Magnoliopsida; Fagales; Fagaceae
Source: RNAcentral